CGAGUGUUAUAAGUUUUAUUAUUCUUUCUUUCCAAGUAGGAGAUCUCAGUUGUUUGAGCCGUUAUAUAUAGU
Molecule: transfer RNA, 72 nt
Filed under: Schistosoma japonicum
Lineage: Eukaryota; Metazoa; Platyhelminthes; Trematoda; Strigeidida; Schistosomatidae
Description: tRNA-Gly
Source: RNAcentral